AUGGCAAGAUCUGGUACAUCACAAGGCUCAGCCUCUCCAGUGGUACCAUGUUGGCGGUCUGCCUGCUCAGUGAUCAUCAUCAGUGGUAGGGUUGAACGUUUUGAGCAGGUCAGGGCAGACGGGCAGCGGCUUGUCCUUGAGGUAGCCGAGUGGGUUGGCCAUGCGGAUGUUGUCGCUGAUGCCAACGUUCCUGCUGAGGACUAUCUCGGCGCGGUCCCUGAGAUCCUGGAUCUCGUUGCAGUUUGCGAGGGGGCUCUGGACAAGAACCAUCUCGCAGAUAUCCUCCGGAUGGCUGUCCUUGAGCUCGAUUUUGUAAGUGCCAGUCUCGUCGGUUACACCGUCGAUCGAGCGCUCAACUUUCUCAGUGCCGAAGCGCUUGCACUCCAGCCUCACCUUGGCACCUGCAGUCCAUCAACAAAGUACCACUGA
Molecule: ribosomal RNA, 429 nt
Filed under: Triticum aestivum (bread wheat)
Lineage: Eukaryota; Viridiplantae; Streptophyta; Magnoliopsida; Poales; Poaceae
Description: partial small subunit ribosomal RNA
Source: RNAcentral